Magallana angulata is the source of this 1281-nucleotide long non-coding RNA. RefSeq lists it as uncharacterized. The transcript is spliced from 2 exons. The record is from RefSeq and is a predicted model, not a curated record. Lineage: Eukaryota; Metazoa; Mollusca; Bivalvia; Ostreida; Ostreidae.
ACUAAGAAACAGGUUAGGUCAUUUUUGGGACUAGUUGGUUUCUAUAGAAGAUUUAUACCUAACUUUUCAGCCAUUGCAGCCCCGCUGACAGAUUUGACACGGAAAGGACAGCCUAACAAGUGUAUCUGGGGACAGCAGCAGGAAAAUGCAUUUACAUCGCUGAAGUACGCACUCAUGGUAACACCUGUGUUAAAAUUACCCGAUAUUAGUAAACCAUUUAUAUUGCAGACAGAUGCGUCAGAUGCAGGUGUUGGUGCAGUGUUGUUGCAAGAGGAAGAUGGAGUGAAGAAACCGGUUUUCUACGCUAGUCAGAAGCUGAAGUCGCACCAGUUGUCCUACUCUACGAUCGAGAAGGAAUGUUAUGCUAUAGUCUGGGCGGUCCAGAAGUUCCAAAGGUAUUUAUAUGGAAAAGAGUUCCUACUGGAGACCGACCACCAACCUCUAGUUUAUCUAAGCCACGCCAAGGUAUCUAAUGCUCGUUUAAUGAGGUGGGCAUUGUUAUUGCAACCGUACAGAUUCCGGAUCGUCGCAAUUAAAGGUUCUGAAAACGUCGGUGCAGACUGUCUAAGUAGACUGUAAAUAUGUUACAGUACAUUUUGUGUAUAUUUUAUUGACAUUUUUUUUUAUUGAUUGUGUUUUUUUCAAAAGUUUAUGAAACUUUCUUGGAUAGGGAGAUAAUGUCACAAUCAAUAGAUUUAUUCAUUCUUACUAUUUUCCUAUAGGGUACCUCUGAUUUUUAUUCUAUGUUCAUAUCCUUUUUGGUGCCUCAAUUUUAUCAAUUCAGGUAUUGGUCAAUAUUGGACUAUACUCGGACUGUUCUAUUUGUUUACUAUGAUGCUAUAAAUACCCAUGUUUUUGGUCAGUGAGCCGGGGUCCAUUAGCACGCACUGCAGUAGUAACACGAUGUAUAGCUAAGUGUAUUUUUACGGUAACCAUCUCCAUUAGGGGUUCCAGCAAGGCUCCAGCAAUGUUCCAGUGAUGAUUCGGCCAUAGUCACCAGUGUUCCGGUAUUGAACAUCUUACCACCCGUGUAACCUCCUUCGAGUAUUCACUUACUACGCUGGAAGCCGGUGGACGGAAGCCGUCAUCUUAGGACGUGGUACCGAAGGAGGACACAUUGGAGGAACACUGGAGGGACACUGCUGUCCAAUAUACCACCAUAGGACAUUGACGAAUCAGAUAUUAGAAACAUUUUUUGUUUGUUAAUAUUUUGUGUGUGUGUGAAUGUGUAUAUUUGUAAAUUUAUUGAUUUUAUAUAUAGAUAAAGAUUGUAAAUACUUA